AGAAGCUUAGGAUCAACAUAAACCAAAGGCCUUCAAAGCCUUAAAUAGGUUACACCCCCCUAGCCUCUG
Molecule: transfer RNA, 69 nt
Filed under: Sceloporus angustus
Lineage: Eukaryota; Metazoa; Chordata; Lepidosauria; Squamata; Phrynosomatidae
Description: tRNA-Trp
Source: RNAcentral